UGCAAGUCGAACGAGACCUUCGGGUCUAGUGGCGCACGGGUGCGUAACGCGUGGGAAUCUGCCCUUAGGUACGGAAUAACUCAGGGAAACUUGUGCUAAUACCGUAUGAUGUCGAGAGACCAAAGAUUUAUCGCCUAGGGAUGAGCCCGCGUAGGAUUAGCUAGUUGGUGGGGUAAAGGCCUACCAAGGCUACGAUCCUUAGCUGGUCUGAGAGGAUGAUCAGCCACACUGGGACUGAGGCACGGCCCAGACUCCUACGGGAGGCAGCAGUGGGGAAUAUUGGACAAUGGGCGAAAGCCUGAUCCAGCAAUGCCGCGUGAGUGAAGAAGGCCUUCGGGUUGUAAAGCUCUUUUACCCGGGAAGAUAAUGACUGUACCGGGAGAAUAAGCUCCGGCUAACUCCGUGCCAGCAGCCGCGGUAAUACGGAGGGAGCUAGCGUUGUUCGGAAUUACUGGGCGUAAAGCGUUCGUAGGCGGCUUUGUAAGUCAGAGGUGAAAGCCCACGACUCAAUCGUGGAACUGCCUUUGAGACUGCUUCGCUUGAAGAUGGGAGAGGUUAGUGGAAUUCCGAGUGUAGAGGUGAAAUUCGUAGAUAUUCGGAAGAACACCAGUGGCGAAGGCGGCUAACUGGACCAUUCUUGACGCUGAGGACGAAAGCGUGGGGAGCAAACAGGAUUAGAUACCCUGGUAGUCCACGCCGUAAACGAUGAAAACUAGCUGUCGGGGCUCUUAGAGCUUCGGUGGCCAGCUAACGCAUUAAGUUUUCCGCCUGGGGAUACGGCCCAAGGUUAAACUCAAAGGAAUUGACGGGG
This 811-nucleotide ribosomal RNA is filed under the name uncultured Sphingomonadaceae bacterium. Its description in RNAcentral is "bacterial SSU rRNA". It matches the Rfam family "Bacterial small subunit ribosomal RNA", at positions 56 to 918 of the family's 1533-position model. The record is from RNAcentral. Lineage: Bacteria; Pseudomonadati; Pseudomonadota; Alphaproteobacteria; Sphingomonadales; Sphingomonadaceae.